Molecule: ribosomal RNA, 503 nt
Filed under: uncultured bacterium
Lineage: Bacteria
Description: partial 16S ribosomal RNA
Rfam family: Bacterial small subunit ribosomal RNA
Source: RNAcentral
AUUGAACGCUGGCGGCAGGCUUAACUCAUGCAAGUCGAGCGGGGUGAUGGUGCUUGCACUAUCACUUAGCGGCGGACGGGUGAGUAAUGCUUAGGAAUCUGCCUAUUAGUGGGGGACAACAUCUCGAAAGGGAUGCUAAUACCGCAUACGUCCUACGGGAGAAAGCAGGGGAUCACUUGUGACCUUGCGCUAAUAGAUGAGCCUAAGUCGGAUUAGCUAGUUGGUGGGGUAAAGGCCUACCAAGGCGACGAUCUGUAGCGGGUCCGAGAGGAUGAUCCGCCACACUGGGACUGAGACACGGCCCAGACUCCUACGGGAGGCAGCAGUGGGGAAUAUUGGACAAUUGGGGGAACCCUGAUCCAGCCAUGCCGCGUGUGUGAAGAAGGCCUUAUGGUUGUAAAGCACUUUAAGCGAGGAGGAGGCUCUUUUGGUUAAUACCCAAGAUGAGUGGACGUUACUCGCAGAAUAAGCACCGGCUAACUCUGUGCCAGCAGCCGCCGCCG